Molecule: ribosomal RNA, 268 nt
Filed under: uncultured Burkholderiales bacterium
Lineage: Bacteria; Pseudomonadati; Pseudomonadota; Betaproteobacteria; Burkholderiales
Description: partial 16S ribosomal RNA
Rfam family: Bacterial small subunit ribosomal RNA
Source: RNAcentral
CAAGCGUUAAUCGGAAUUACUGGGCGUAAAGCGUGCGCAGGCGGUUUUGUAAGACAGUGGUGAAAUCCCCGGGCUCAACCUGGGAACUGCCAUUGUGACUGCAAGGCUAGAGUGCGGCAGAGGGGGAUGGAAUUCCGCGUGUAGCAGUGAAAUGCGUACAUAUGCGGAGGAACACCGAUGGCGAAGGCAAUCCCCUGGGCCUGCACUGACGCUCAUGCACGAAAGCGUGGGGAGCAAACAGGAUUAGAUACCCUGGUAGUCAAGGGCG